AAAUUUUGGCCGGGCAUUGUGGCUCAUGCCUGGAAUCCCAGCACUUUGGGAGGUCAAAGCAGGCAGAUGACCUGAGGUCAGGAGUUUGAGACCAGCCUGGCCAACAUGGUGAAACCCUGUCUCUACUAAAAAUACAAAAAUUAGCCGGGCGUGGUGGCACAUGCCUGUAGUUCCAGCUACUUGGGAGGCUGAGGCAGGAGAAUUGCGUGUACCUGGGAGGCAGAGAUUGCAGUAAGGCGAGAUGGCGUCAUUGCACUCCAGCCUGGGCAACAACAGCAAAACUCCGUCUCAGAAAAGAAAAAAGAAAAUAUAAAUUUCUAGUCCUUCUGACACAAUUAUGCAAAAAGAGUAGAGGUUGUUACACAAUAAUAAACCUGCUCUUUCACAUGUAAUUGCCAAUGAUAAGACAACAGAACCAGACCAUUUUAUCCAGAGCUUCGUUAUAGCUUGCCUUUGGAUAUAAGUCCUACGACUAUAGAAGACGUGGCAAAUUAAUAUACACGAACGUGGCCGAUUUCUCUGAAUGAGUUAGCUAUAUGUUCAAAAAAUUUUACUGAUUCACCUAGGAAAAACUAUUCUGUGAGUAGAUACAAUCUGUUUGUUUUCCAGGGCCACAUAGCUUUAUGUGAGUGUAUACACCCAAAUACAAUUAAAAACCAAUAAUCCUGGCCUCAGCUCGGUUAUUUUUAAAUCAUGAACAAAUUAAAAUUUGAAUUGGAGCUGAUUGAGCCUCCAUGAUUGUCUGUGGGGACUCACUGUUUCAUAAACCCCCAGUUCACCAAAUGAAUAUAUAAAACAGUCUCUGCCAUGUUGACAGGAACUAAAGGAGGCCCAUUGAAGUAUUAGGGGAAAAGGCCGAUGCGUGCGCUUUCUUGUCCUGAAGCCGCCAUCUUGGCUGCUAAGAGGCGGAACCAGGAGAAACAUGUGGCCCAUAACACAAUCACUUCCUGGGGAGGUAGAAAGAUGGCUCUGCUGAGAUGAGCUCUUAAUUAAUGCACUGAGAGCCUGCGAGUCCCACCUCUCAACAGGAAUGAUUGACGUCCAAGGAUACAUAAAUUACACUAAUUGAGCUCUGCCUCUAUAUAGGCUUUCCACAGCCAACUCAUCAGAGAAGCUAGGUGAGUAGACCAGCAUCAA
Molecule: long non-coding RNA, 1137 nt
Filed under: Macaca mulatta (Rhesus monkey)
Lineage: Eukaryota; Metazoa; Chordata; Mammalia; Primates; Cercopithecidae
Description: lncRNA (ENSMMUG00000051586.1)
Source: RNAcentral